AGAGUUUGAUCCUGGCUCAGGAUGAACGCUGGCGGCGUGCUUAACACAUGCAAGUCGAACGAUCCUUCGGGAUAGUGGCGGACGGGUGAGUAACGCGUGGGAAUCUGCCCUCAGGAGGGGGAUAACGGCUGGAAACGGCCGCUAAUACCCCAUAUGCCGAGAGGUGAAAUGAAUUUCGCCUGAGGAUGAGCCCGCGUCUGAUUAGCUAGUUGGUGGGGUAAAGGCCUACCAAGGCAACGAUCAGUAGCUGGUCUGAGAGGAUGAUCAGCCACACUGGGACUGAGACACGGCCCACUCCUACGGGAGGCAGCAGUGGGGAAUUUUCCGCAAUGGGCGAAAGCCUGACGGAGCAACGCCGCGUGAGGGAUGAAGGCCUCUGGGCUGUAAACCUCUUUUCUCAAGGAAGAAGACCUGACGGUACUUGAGGAAUAAGCCACGGCUAAUUCCGUGCCAGCAGCCGCGGUAAUACGGGAGUGGCAAGCGUUAUCCGGAAUUAUUGGGCGUAAAGCGUCCGCAGGCGGCCUUGUAAGUCUGUUGUUAAAGCGUGGAGCUCAACUCCAUUUAAGCAAUGGAAACUACAAGGCUGGAGUGUGGUAGGGGCAGAGGGAAUUCCCGGUGUAGCGGUGAAAUGCGUAGAUAUCGGGAAGAACACCAGUGGCGAAGGCGCUCUGCUGGGCCAUAACUGACGCUCAUGGACGAAAGCCAGGGGAGCGAAAGGGAUUAGAUACCCCUGUAGUCCUGGCCGUAAACGAUGAACACUAGGUGUCGGGGGAAUCGACCCCCUCGGUGUCGUAGCCAACGCGUUAAGUGUUCCGCCUGGGGAGUACGCACGCAAGUGUGAAACUCAAAGGAAUUGACGGGGGCCCGCACAAGCGGUGGAGUAUGUGGUUUAAUUCGAUGCAACGCGAAGAACCUUACCAGGGUUUGACAUCCUGCGAACCCCUGAGAAAUCGGGGGGUGCCUUCGGGAGCGCAGAGACAGGUGGUGCAUGGCUGUCGUCAGCUCGUGUCGUGAGAUGUUGGGUUAAGUCCCGCAACGAGCGCAACCCACGUCUUUAGUUGCCAGCAUUCAGUUGGGCACUCUAGAGAGACCGCCGGUGAUAAACCGGAGGAAGGUGUGGAUGACGUCAAGUCAUCAUGCCCCUUACAUCCUGGGCUACACACGUACUACAAUGCUACGGACAAAGGGCAGCAAGCUCGCGAGAGUUAGCAAAUCCCAUAAACCGUGGCUCAGUUCAGAUCGUAGGCUGCAACUCGCCUACGUGAAGGAGGAAUCGCUAGUAAUCGCAGGUCAGCAUACUGCGGUGAAUACGUUCCCGGGCCUU
This 1324-nucleotide ribosomal RNA is filed under the name metagenome. Its description in RNAcentral is "bacterial SSU rRNA". It matches the Rfam family "Bacterial small subunit ribosomal RNA", at positions 8 to 1382 of the family's 1533-position model. The record is from RNAcentral.